Molecule: ribosomal RNA, 497 nt
Filed under: uncultured bacterium
Lineage: Bacteria
Description: partial 16S ribosomal RNA
Rfam family: Bacterial small subunit ribosomal RNA
Source: RNAcentral
GAUGAACGCUGGCGGCGUGCCUAAUACAUGCAAGUCGAGCGAACAGACGAGGAGCUUGCUCCUUUGACGUUAGCGGCGGACGGGUGAGUAACACGUAGGUAACCUACCUAUAAGACUGGGAUAACUUCGGGAAACCGGAGCUAAUACCUGAUAAUAUUUCGAACCGCAUGGUUCGAUAGUGAAAGAUGGCUUUGCUAUCACUUAUAGAUGGACCUGCGCCGUAUUAGCUAGUUGGUAAGGUAACGGCUUACCAAGGCAACGAUACGUAGCCGACCUGAGAGGGUGAUCGGCCACACUGGAACUGAGACACGGUCCAGACUCCUACGGGAGGCAGCAGUAGGGAAUCUUCCGCAAUGGGCGAAAGCCUGACGGAGCAACGCCGCGUGAGUGAUGAAGGUCUUCGGAUCGUAAAACUCUGUUAUUAGGGAAGAACAAACGUGUAAGUAACUGUGCACGUCUUGACGGUACCUAAUCAGAAAGCCACGGCUAACUACGUG